GGAUUGUGGCUCAGCGGUAGAGUGCUCACCUUGCAUGUGUGAGGCCCUGGGUUUGAUCCUCAGCACCA
Molecule: transfer RNA, 68 nt
Filed under: Marmota monax (woodchuck)
Lineage: Eukaryota; Metazoa; Chordata; Mammalia; Rodentia; Sciuridae
Description: tRNA.Ala
Rfam family: tRNA (bases 5-65)
About the family: Transfer RNA (tRNA) molecules are approximately 80 nucleotides in length. Their secondary structure includes four short double-helical elements and three loops (D, anti-codon, and T loops).
Source: RNAcentral